AUAUACUCAACAUAUGUCCAUAUACAACCCAUGCUUAACUUUAAAAGAACACAUGUCAUUUCAUUACCAUAGGACCUCUACCUAAUAUAACCUUAAGACACACUUGAGUGAGACAAGAAGUGACCGCCCACACAACCUCUUCAAGCACACUUAAGUGUUCCCCAAGAUUACCUUAGAUAAGGACAUUUCAUUUACAACAUAACAUCAAU
Molecule: long non-coding RNA, 209 nt
Filed under: Solanum tuberosum (potato)
Lineage: Eukaryota; Viridiplantae; Streptophyta; Magnoliopsida; Solanales; Solanaceae
Description: long non-coding RNA (STUB_LNC009040)
Source: RNAcentral